AUACGUAGGGUGUAAGCGUUAAUCGGAAUUACUGGGCGUAAAGCGUGCGCAGGCGGUUUUGUAAGACAGUGGUGAAAUCCCCGGGCUCAACCUGGGAACUGCCAUUGUGACUGCAAGGCUGGAGUGCGGCAGAGGGGGAUGGAAUUCCGCGUGUAGCAGUGAAAUGCGUAGAUAUGCGGAGGAACACCGAUGGCGAAGGCAAUCCCCUGGGCAUGCACUGACGCUCAUGCACGAAAGCGUGGGGAGCAAACAGGAUUAGAUACCCUGGUAGUCCACGCCCUAAACGAUGUCAACUGGUUGUUGGGGAUUUAUUUUCUCAGUAACGAAGCUAACGCGUGAAGUUGACCGCCUGGGGAGUACGGCCGCAAGGUUAAAACUCAAAUGAAUUGACGGGG
RNAcentral lists this ribosomal RNA (395 nucleotides) under uncultured bacterium. RNAcentral's name for it is "partial 16S ribosomal RNA". It matches the Rfam family "Bacterial small subunit ribosomal RNA", at positions 523 to 918 of the family's 1533-position model. The record is from RNAcentral.